UUUCAAUUUUGUAGUUACAAUUGCAAAUAACUAUUAAUUAUAAGUUUAAAACUGUGGGUUUAAACCUACAAUGAAUU
RNAcentral lists this transfer RNA (77 nucleotides) under Pagurus nigrofascia. Its description in RNAcentral is "tRNA-Asn". The record is from RNAcentral. Lineage: Eukaryota; Metazoa; Arthropoda; Malacostraca; Decapoda; Paguridae.